This is a non-coding RNA of Python bivittatus (Burmese python), 548 nucleotides long. NCBI's taxonomy places the organism in Eukaryota, Metazoa, Chordata, Lepidosauria, Squamata, Pythonidae. The record is from RefSeq and is a predicted model, not a curated record.
UCCACAAGUGGCAAAUUUAUGGGUUAUGUCACUCUGGGUUUGCAUCUUUAAAACUGGCAAGUGUAUUUAAGGACUUUUCAGAAUACACUCUGUAUUGUUUAGUUGAUGAAAAGGCAAGUUCUGGUAUGUAAAAGAAAGAAAUGGUUUUGGCCUGAACUUCAAAAGGAGGCAUGGAUGCAGUGCAAAAAUGCUAAUAUCACCUUUAUUAAAAAGCUAAUAAUGAAGCCUAAAAUUCCAGGUAACAGUGCUUCUCAAAGCCAACAAGCUAAAUCUUGAUGAAAUGUCUUUGCCUUGAACUGCGAUUGUAUGAAAACUGAGUUUGCUAAGAGGAAAUGGCAUUCUCCUGCAUGCUAGAUUUCUGUACAAAAAUGGGGAGAGGGGCGUCCACCCAAAUGGGAGAACUUCUCAUCAGAUUGGAAUCUCCUUUCCCCAAGCCCUACAAGCACUCUGAAGCAAGAAGGAGAGCUGAGUCUGGCAAGGGAAGAUUCCCUGUAUCCCUUUUUUGACCAUUCUUCUGUAGACACCUUUCAAGGAGAAAGAGGGACAGA